GAAGGUCCAGGCGUUAUCCGGAUUUAUUGGGUUUAAAGGGAGCGUAGGCGGAUUCUUAAGUCAGUUGUGAAAGUUGGCCGCUCAACGGUCAAAUUGCAGUUGAAACUGGGAGUCUUGAGUGCACACAGGGAUGCCGGAAUUCAUGGUGUAGCGGUGAAAUGCUUAGAUAUCAUGAAGAACUCCGAUCGCGAAGGCAAGUGUCCGGAGUGCAACUGACGCUGAGGCUCGAAAGUGUGGGUAUCAAA
Molecule: ribosomal RNA, 245 nt
Filed under: uncultured bacterium
Lineage: Bacteria
Description: partial 16S ribosomal RNA
Rfam family: Bacterial small subunit ribosomal RNA
Source: RNAcentral